AGCAGCCACGGUAAUUCCAGCUCCAAUAGUGUAUAUUAAAGUUGUUGCAGUUAAAAAGCUUGUAGUUGAACCUUAGGCCUGUGCGGCGGUCCGUCCACUGGGCGAGCACUGCCUCAUCGCGGGUCUCACCUUCUGGCGAGUGUGGAUGCCAUUCAUUUGGUGUCUGGGAACCAGGAUCUUCUUUACCUUGAAAAGAUUAGAGUGCUCAAAGCGGGCUCUUAUGCUUGAAUACAUUAGCAUGGAAUAAUGAAAUAGGACGACAGUUCUAUUUUGUUGAUUUCUGGGACGGUCGUAAUGAUUAAUAGAGAUAGUUGGGGGCAUUCGUAUUCAAUUGUCAGAGGUGAAAUUCUUGGAUUUAUUGAAUAUGGACUACUGUGAAAGCAUUUUGCCAAGGAUGUUUUCAUUAAUCAAGAACGAAAGUUGGGGGAUCGAAGACGAUCAGAUACCGUCAUAGUCUCAACCAUAAACUAUGCUGACUGGGAAUC
Molecule: ribosomal RNA, 485 nt
Filed under: uncultured Paraglomus
Lineage: Eukaryota; Fungi; Glomeromycota; Glomeromycetes; Paraglomerales; Paraglomeraceae
Description: bacterial SSU rRNA
Rfam family: Eukaryotic small subunit ribosomal RNA
Source: RNAcentral